This 1500-nucleotide unclassified non-coding RNA is filed under the name Actinia tenebrosa (Australian red waratah sea anemone). RNAcentral describes it as "galanin receptor type 1-like, transcript variant X12". The record is from RNAcentral. Lineage: Eukaryota; Metazoa; Cnidaria; Anthozoa; Actiniaria; Actiniidae.
ACUAAAACAAUUAUUUGCCUCAGCGAAUAAUUGUUAAAUAUUGUGUCCCUCCAGCUGUUUCCUUUGUCAGUAGCAAUUAGCCCAUCAAGAUCAGCCUAAAUGAUGAUAUAUGCAGGCUUUCUGCUUUAGCUUUCUGCGCUUCAGGCAAUCAUGUAAAUCCAUUAAUUGAGCAAAAACCUUGAAUUUUGCCGUUCUUUUAGAAAGCGUUUGACAUGCACAUGUGAGCUGUUUUUUAUGUCUGUGUUCUAGCAAGCGUACAAUACGUUUGCGAAUGAUUUGGAGCAUGUAUGAAAAUACAAACAAAAUAGUCAAAAAAGGGAAUCGUGAUUUUAAAAGAUAUACGUACUAGAUUUAUCGAAUGGAAAACAAAAUGCGCAAAAUCUCUAGGAAAUAAAAAAAGGGGAAAAACAUGAACUAGACAUUAAUUUUUCAAACGUAUCUAAGCCAAUGCCAACUUUCUUUGUGCCAUAUUGAGGUACAUGACCUAUAAGUUUUUUUGGAACACUAGAUCUUAGGUAGCUUUUGCAUAAAACCCCGUCUACACUACACUAAGAUUUUCCUAGACGAAUAUCUCUUUUGAAGGAUGAGACAAAAGAUUUCAUAUUUCCGAAAAUUGCCACAAAAAUCGCCAGUGUAAAUGGGGCUUUAAAUUUCCGGUUACUCAUAUGUUCCUGUUAUCUGUAGCUUCGAAUGGACAGUUUUUCACUCAGAGGUGCGAUUUAUCAGAGCUUUGUUUUGAUUGGAUGAAACCGAUACCCUGUUGUGAGCAUGUGCAGUACUACUACUUUGCGUUUGCAUAUCUUUUGGUCUCCGUCCAGCUAAUUCUAAUUUCUGAUUGGGAAACUAGUAAUGGAGCUGCGAAACUGGUCCAAACGAAAAAAUAAAUCAUAAUUUGGAAGUUAAAGUAAGUUUUUACAAUAACUUGAAUUUACCGAACUCUUUCUUUUUCUCGCCAAGGCAAAAAAAAAAAAAAAGUAGGACACUGAUAAAGUACGUUGAAGCCUUUUUAACUGGUCAUUCCUCAAUCAUGAGAAACCUCACGUUUUUAGUGGCUUGAACAGAUAUUACACAAACGAACUCUACGACCGAGGCGCACUUGAGCGAGAGAGCCUAGGCUCCAGCCUAAAAGUACUGAUAGUAUCCUGGCAAUGUAAAGGAUAAUUAUUUAACUAUUGUGUUCCAACUUCCGGCUUAACUCUGUAAUCUCGUGUCAAUACGGAAGCAAUUAUCUUACGAUUUUAGUGCUUUUACUGACAUAUGGGAAUAAUAUUAUAGCAAAAAUAGAUUUCAAAUGGCAAUUUUAUCCGUAGAUCGAGAGACGAGCUACCAAGGCACUUAGUGAAUGGCUAGCUAUAGGUACUCACUAGAAUCAUUUGAGUCCUGACAACGCCGCCCGUAAAGAUGUGAUGUCAAGACGACGCCAAGGUUGGUAAAGGAUUAUCUUGCCGUGUAAUAUAAUAUACCGCCCGGAUACAAUAGAAACAUAUAAUUGCACGCCUU